Long non-coding RNA from Nicotiana tabacum (common tobacco), 652 nucleotides. RefSeq lists it as uncharacterized. NCBI's taxonomy places the organism in Eukaryota, Viridiplantae, Streptophyta, Magnoliopsida, Solanales, Solanaceae. The record is from RefSeq and is a predicted model, not a curated record.
AUCUUUAUUUUUGUUCAUGUUUUACUAAAUUACUUUUAUUUCUUGUUCAUGUUUUACUAAAUUGCUUUUAUUUUAUAACAGCACGAAGUUAUUUAUCUAAUGAUAAUUUUCAUAUCAGGGCACUGAAACCAGCUGACCAGUGGGAACGCAAGAAGGCAAUAGACUACGUACUUAUGCAAGAAAAUAGCUCAGUUAAAAGCUUUCCUGCAUGUUCUUAAAAGCUUUCCUGCAUGUUCUUAAAUCCUGUGGCAAAGGUGAAGGCAUUACAAAUGGAGGUUAGUUGAUAAGUACAAAUUGACUUAAAUGGGUGAGAAUGGAGAAAAGAAGGUAAGCUAAGCAGAGAGAAGAUUGAACUAAAGCAGGAAACUAGAGAAAAUGGAAUUUACAAACUAGAACAACAAAGAAUGAAGAUAUCUACAUCUUUUUACCUCUGUAUCAAAUUAUUCUCCAACGCUUCCCUCCAGUAUGUUGAUUCUUCUCAACUUUCCACCACUCUGAAGCUGACUCUCAAAUUCUCAAUAAAUAAGUAGCAUGCAACCUCAGUGAGCCAAUCCGUAUUUGAGAGAGGUUGACAGCAACUGACCAGAAGAUAACUGCAAUCUCAGUGAGUCAAUCAGUAUUUCAGAGAGGUCGAGAAGGGACCAGAAGAUGU